This 275-nucleotide ribosomal RNA is filed under the name uncultured bacterium. Its description in RNAcentral is "partial 16S ribosomal RNA". It matches the Rfam family "Bacterial small subunit ribosomal RNA", at positions 29 to 329 of the family's 1533-position model. The record is from RNAcentral.
AGCGAACGCUGGCGGCAGGCCUAAUACAUGCAAGUCGAACGGAUCCUUCGGGAUUAGUGGCGGACGGGUGAGUAACACGUGGGAACGUGCCCUUUGGUUCGGAACAACUCAGGGAAACUUGAGCUAAUACCGGAUAAGCCCUUCGGGGAAGGAUUAUCGCCAUGGAGCGGCCCGCGUCUGAUUAGCUAGUUGGUGGGGUAAAGGGACCGUACCAACGGACGACGAUCAGUAGCUGGUCUGAGAGGAUGAUCAGCCACACUGGGACUGAGACACGG